RNAcentral lists this ribosomal RNA (847 nucleotides) under uncultured Burkholderia sp. Its description in RNAcentral is "bacterial SSU rRNA". It matches the Rfam family "Bacterial small subunit ribosomal RNA", at positions 9 to 850 of the family's 1533-position model. The record is from RNAcentral. Lineage: Bacteria; Pseudomonadati; Pseudomonadota; Betaproteobacteria; Burkholderiales; Burkholderiaceae.
GAGUUUGAUCAUGGCUCAAAUUGAACGCUGGCGGCAUGCCUUACACAUGCAAGUCGAACGGCAGCACGGGAGCAAUCCCUGGUGGCGAGUGGCGAACGGGUGAGUAAUACAUCGGAACGUGUCCUGUAGUGGGGGAUAGCCCGGCGAAAGCCGGAUUAAUACCGCAUACGCUCUGCGGAGGAAAGCGGGGGAUCCUUCGGGACCUCGCGCUACAGGGGCGGCCGAUGGCAGAUUAGCUAGUUGGUGGGGUAAAGGCCUACCAAGGCGACGAUCUGUAGCUGGUCUGAGAGGACGACCAGCCACACUGGGACUGAGACACGGCCCAGACUCCUACGGGAGGCAGCAGUGGGGAAUUUUGGACAAUGGGCGCAAGCCUGAUCCAGCAAUGCCGCGUGUGUGAAGAAGGCCUUCGGGUUGUAAAGCACUUUUGUCCGGAAAGAAAACCUCGUGGUUAAUACCCGUGGGGGAUGACGGUACCGGAAGAAUAAGCACCGGCUAACUACGUGCCAGCAGCCGCGGUAAUACGUAGGGUGCAAGCGUUAAUCGGAAUUACUGGGCGUAAAGCGUGCGCAGGCGGUUCGCUAAGACAGAUGUGAAAUCCCCGGGCUUAACCUGGGAACUGCAUUUGUGACUGGCGGGCUAGAGUAUGGCAGAGGGGGGUAGAAUUCCACGUGUAGCAGUGAAAUGCGUAGAGAUGUGGAGGAAUACCGAUGGCGAAGGCAGCCCCCUGGGCCAAUACUGACGCUCAUGCACGAAAGCGUGGGGAGCAAACAGGAUUAGAUACCCUGUAGUCCACGCCCUAAACGAUGUCAACUAGUUGUCGGGUCUUCAUUGACUUGGUAACGUA